This 91-nucleotide transfer RNA is filed under the name Bacteroidota bacterium. RNAcentral's name for it is "Bacteroidetes bacterium (marine metagenome) tRNA-Ser". It matches the Rfam family "tRNA". Rfam says of the family: Transfer RNA (tRNA) molecules are approximately 80 nucleotides in length. RNAcentral also lists the same sequence under 2 other names. Lineage: Bacteria; Pseudomonadati; Bacteroidota. The record is from RNAcentral.
GGAGAGGUGGGAGAGUGGCUUAAUCCAGCAGUUUGCUAAACUGCCGUACCUGUAAAGGGUACCGGGGGUUCGAAUCCCCCUCUCUCCGCCA